Molecule: long non-coding RNA, 1289 nt
Filed under: Anser cygnoides (Swan goose)
Lineage: Eukaryota; Metazoa; Chordata; Aves; Anseriformes; Anatidae
Description: lncRNA (ENSACDG00005011103.1)
Source: RNAcentral
UGACACUUCUUGAGGAAUACCAUUCACAGCUGAUCCCAUCUCCAGGCUGUUUGCUGAAAUUGGAAAUGAAACUGUCUCUUCACACUGGGCUUCCUGUACUCCAUGACACUCACAGUUUUGCAUAGACUGGGAAAGUCUCAUCAUCAAGAAUAUGCCACUGCUGCACUCCAACACGUAUCUUCUGUAUCCUGCAGGUAACAAGUCUGGUUUUAAAGCCAGUGGCCAGUGGGAACAAUUGACUGAACACUUCUUCCAAAACUGUGAGUUUAUCUUUAAUGAUUGGAACUGAACUAUCAAUACAUUAUGAGUAUUUUCAACAGCAUGAAUCUGUGCUUGUGUUUUUUGGAAGAUGAUUUUGUUUUUUGGAAGAUGAUUUGUGUUUUUUGGAAGAUGAUUUUGCAAAUUUUCCUAAUUCUGGUAUGAUGCUCUUGCUUUGUUGCUUCUGCUGAAAUGUAAGGUUUCAUCACUGAUGAAAGCACUCUGUUCAUCUCCACGUGCUUAACUGUUGACCACUUUUUUUUUUCUUCAUUGGCCAUCUAAAUCAUAUAAUAUACUUGUCUUUGACCAUAUCCACUUUCAUCCUAAUGCCUGGAAAAUGUCACAACCUCUUCAAAAUGGAACGAAAACUGAAAUGUAGCCUGGUAACAUUAGCUAUAUCAGGAGAUCUCAUGAUGCCAUAUUAACCUCUGAUCUGAUCUGGAACUGAAGGUCAAAAAAGUCAAAUACUUCUUGAAAUGUCAGUAUUUGUAACUUUCCAAUUACACCAAUAGAUGAUCUCUACAAAAUGAAUAGUACCAAAAGAAGCUAUGUUGUCUUGGUUAACAAGAUUAGAUAGGAAACUGGACCUUUAUCUAUCAGUAGAGUUCAAACAAAGAAGGGAUAUUGCUGUAAGCUCAUUUUUAACAUAUGAGAACAUGUUCUCAUUUAACUAAUACAAAUCCAGAACAAUUCUAGGGAUCUUAAAACAUUUCUGCAUUUUUAAUAAUGCAGCUAGGUUUAAAAUCCAUUUAUGUGUUAGGUCAUUCACUCCACUAAUGAAAGACCAGAAAGAGAAUCAAAUAAGGCAAAAUAAGAUUAUUUAUUUUAAGGUCAUAGUUAUCAGGUAUGCCUGUAUACACACAGUCUAUACAGUUCUAUCUUGAACCAGUGUGGUUGUUUUUAUGACAGAAAAAAACAAUCAUAUACCUGUUUUGAGAACUAUAAACCCCUAUUGGAAAUGCAAGUGGACUUCACAGAAGGGCUUUCUUUGUUCUAUGUUCCUCUUCUGUACAAUGACAACUUGAAGUCUU